CUUUCUUUCUAGCAAGUUCCAACUUUUGUUUAGGUGUUCCACAUUUUAUCUUCUUUCUUCUUUUGUUGCUAUAUUGUGUCUACCAGUCAUUUACAUAUAUAUGUAUGUAUGUAUGUAUAAUAUUUGUUUUGAGUUUCUGUUCCCCUCACACACACACAGUCACUCACCGUCAGCGUCACACUCACAGUCUGGGCAUGUGCUUGUGCAGCAGAAACCUUUGCUGGAUGGAAACGUUGACAAGAAGCAGCAGCAGAGAGAGAGAGAGAGAGAGAGAGAGAAAUAUGUUGUCACCACUCAGUCAAAGUGAUUUACGAUGCUGCCUGGUUUUACUGCUGCAAUGAGUGUGUUCGAAGUAUCUAUCUGAAGCGUCUGUCCAUCUGUGAAAGAUUUAUCCGUUCGACCCGACAGAUGGACGAUGCCGACAGCUACAACAGCGUCAGCGGCCGGAGCCACGCAGCAGCGGCUGCUGAUGAAAAACGCAGAAGGUUUCUGUCCUGACCCGCUGAUUUAUUAUCGUGUUGAAGCCAGCAGGGUGAGAUGACCGAUCUCACUUCCAAAGUAAUUUCAUGUUUCGAGACCCUUCCAGAAACAAUAGCCGUAUCUCAGCGCGCGGCGUGUGAGUCAGUCGAUGGGUUUCCAUUUAUGUGAUUCUUAAAAGUACAUGGACCUGAAAAUAGGUCUCUCUUUGCACCUCUGCUGCAGGAACACAGUCGCUGUGGUUUGUGGGUCCGUUCAGGGAUGUUGUAAAGCUGAUUUAUCUGCAAUGAGCAAUAAAUUUAAUUUGGGGAUCACUUCAACAAGUGUGUGUUUAUAUGUGUAGGGUUUUUUUUUGUCCCUCUGCACAUUAAAGCUGA
Acanthopagrus latus (yellowfin seabream) is the source of this 854-nucleotide long non-coding RNA. RefSeq lists it as uncharacterized. The record is from RefSeq and is a predicted model, not a curated record. The transcript is spliced from 3 exons. NCBI's taxonomy places the organism in Eukaryota, Metazoa, Chordata, Actinopteri, Spariformes, Sparidae.